This 430-nucleotide ribosomal RNA is filed under the name Pseudomonadota bacterium. Its description in RNAcentral is "Proteobacteria bacterium partial 16S ribosomal RNA". It matches the Rfam family "Bacterial small subunit ribosomal RNA", at positions 355 to 776 of the family's 1533-position model. The record is from RNAcentral. Lineage: Bacteria; Pseudomonadati; Pseudomonadota.
UGGGGAAUAUUGGACAAUGGGGGGAACCCUGAUCCAGCCAUGCCGCGUGUGUGAAGAAGGCCUUAUGGUUGUAAAGCACUUUAAGCGAGGAGGAGGGUACUGGUAUUAAUACUACCAGGUACUGGACGUUACUCGCAGAAUAAGCACCGGCUAACUCUGUGCCAGCAGCCGCGGUAAUACAGAGGGUGCGAGCGUUAAUCGGAUUUACUGGGCGUAAAGCGUGCGUAGGCGGCUAAUUGAGUCGGAUGUGAAAUCCCCGAGCUUAACUUGGGAAUUGCAUUCGAUACUGGUUAGCUAGAGUGUGGGAGAGGAUGGUAGAAUUCCAGGUGUAGCGAUGAAAUGCGUAGAGAUCUGGAGGAAUACCGAUGGCGAAGGCAGCCAUCUGGCCUAACACUGACGCUGAGGUACGAAAGCAUGGGGAGCAAACAGG